RNAcentral lists this long non-coding RNA (255 nucleotides) under Manihot esculenta (cassava). RNAcentral's name for it is "long non-coding RNA (MESC_LNC009956)". Lineage: Eukaryota; Viridiplantae; Streptophyta; Magnoliopsida; Malpighiales; Euphorbiaceae. The record is from RNAcentral.
UCAGAUUGGCCCUUCUAGGUUGACCCUGAAUUCUUUGACUUGAACGUAAUAGGCCUCGCCCCUUUGCGCCAGGUGGUCCAGGAACUGGAGGUGCAGCAGGUCCAGGAACUGGAGGCGCAGCAGGUCCAGGAACUGGAGGCGCAGCAGGAGAUCCAAAUCGAGCACCAGAAGGUGGUCCAGGAACUGGAGGCGCAGCAGGAGAUGGUGAUGAAGUGGCGGGGGAGCUUGACAAUCCUUUGGCACAAGGAGCAGGAG